Long non-coding RNA from Beta vulgaris subsp. vulgaris (sugar beet), 4846 nucleotides. RefSeq lists it as uncharacterized. The transcript is spliced from 2 exons. NCBI's taxonomy places the organism in Eukaryota, Viridiplantae, Streptophyta, Magnoliopsida, Caryophyllales, Amaranthaceae. The record is from RefSeq and is a predicted model, not a curated record.
AUUAGAAUGAAUGUGGAGUAAGUCUAUAAGAUUAAAAAGUAAUAGAAAGCUGAUGUGGAACAGUCUGGAGGUUGGUGUUGAGUCUAAACUCACCCUUAGUCGGGUUAUUUUACAUGAAACAAAACCAACACCGACCCAUUUCCUAACUCACGGAUUCAUCCUUCUCUCUCCGUUUAAAAAAAACCCAAAAUCCCAAACCCUCACCCGUAAAAGUUAAAACCCUUAACCCCUUCCCCGACGGCCGACAUGUCACUUCUUGUCUCUCUUUCCUCGUGACGGUGCCUGCCCUUUGCCGGCGUUAGCUAUACUCGCCGGUGACUCUGCGCCACUGUUCUUUUUUCUUUCCUUUCGUUUGUUGCUGCUGUGAUGGUCGUGGGUCGACGGUGUUGAUGCACCUUUUCACCCUUUAUCAGUUGUUAGUGGUAUGCCUGACUCCUCUUCGCCGUCGUUCUCCUCCUUCAUCCGCUUGUGGUUGAUGUUGUUGUUAUUGUUGUUGCGGUCCUCUGUCGCAAGCCACUGCUGGUGGUUCCCCUGCUUACCACCAGAGUCGCUGUUGUGUUGCUGCUAUCCUUUGUAGCGAGCCGCUGCUGGUGGUUCCUCUGCUUGUGGCCACUACUCUGUUAUUUCUCUUCUGUCGCGUUGUUGCUCUGCCGCACGGUGUUGAUGUUAUUGUGCUGUAAUAUUUGCUGGUUGUGCGAAGUACCAAAAGGAUAAGAAGAGCAUGCCUGAAAACAGUAUAAGAAGAGCACAAAAAUGUAGAACAGUAGAAGAAGCAUACCUGAAAACAGUAUAAGAAGAGCAGUCAAAUUAUAUAACUUUCGGUGUUCAAGACUUCAAGUUUUUGUAAGCAUGUCUUUUGUUAAUAAGAACUCAAAUAGAUCAGGCUUGCUUCCCUCCCCCCCUCUGGAAGUUGGAGCCUUUCCUUCUCUUCUGUUGUACUAGAAUUUAAUGGAAUGUGGGGGGGGGGGCGAAUUCUGUAAGAGGUCUGCUUAGAUAAAAAAGAGCUCUUUGAAAUUAUUAGAUUAGUAUUGCACUAUCAUAAAUCUUUCUCAUAAUAGAAACUAUACCUAUUUCGCUAACCCUCCUGCAAUCUAUGAAUCCAUAACAAGCGAACUGAUACAUGAUUCAUCGUACAAUGGCAUACUUUUUGACUAAUUGAACUGCAAGAGAUCACAUUUUCCAGAAUUAGGGAGCAAAGAUUGUAUUGGAUACCUUAAAUGCUAAAUUAACCAAUAUCAUGUUAUAAUAAAGAGAUACAAUAGCAGUUAUAUAAAUAAAAAAGAAUGGAUUCAUAUAUGUUCUUCAACUAAUCUUAGUCAUAAACCAAGAAAGGAACGUAUAGCAUAGAUAUGUGAUGUAAGUCCCACGUCGGUUAUAGAUCAAAAGAAACUUAUGUCAGGUAGAUUUGUUCAUAAUAAGUGCAUUAUUGCUGAUAAUUCCACAUGUCUUAUAAGCUAUGUAAAUAUGGGACUUUUGGUGUAGUCAUUGUAGUUGUAAUCUGGAAAACUAUUUAGCAGUGAUUUUCUGAUCUUUGAUUAACAUGGAUUAAGGACAUUAGCUCUUAGAAUUUCAGUUUUAGACUAUAAUUUUAUAGGUUCCUGAUGAAAGAACGUAGGUGAAGCUAUGAUUCUGUAACAUAAAACUCCUUUUAUUAUCUAACACAUCAGGUCUAGCAUCCUCAGUAGCAUGACUCCUUUUAUUAUACGAGUGCAGAUGCGUACUUGGUAGCAUGAGUAGCAUGAUUCCUUUUAUUAUGUCAGUUGCUUGACAAAACGGGCUUGAAAUUUGUAGAUGUAGCUAUAUAUAAACUAACCUUUCCCGCAGCCCCUGCACACAACCCCCCCUCCUACAGCCCUGCACACACACCCCCUCCUACAGCCCUGCACACCCCUCCUACAACCCCUGCACACCCACCCCCUCCUACAGCCCCUGCACACACACCCCCUCUACAGCCCCUGCACACCCCCCCUCCCACAGCCCCUGCACUAGAAAAGAGACACAACACAAAUGGAAAUAUUAUAUAGUAGCUUUUGUAAACACCUUCCCUUUUGAAAUAUCCCUGCACUUAGGUUCCAUCAUUAAAAAAUCUUGUAACAGAAAUUAAAAUGAUGUUGCUAUACGCAUUGCUCUUGGAGAAAUUAAAAUAAUCGCAGAAAUUAAGAAAGCUCUAACAAAGGCUGGCGUGAAUGUGGCUUCCUUGGAAGAUUUUGCUUCUAGGAAAUUAGAAGGUUCCAAGAGAAGCAACCAUGUCAUACUAGUCAAGAAUUUGCCUUUCAGUUCAAGUGAAGGUGAACUCUCUAAAAUGUUAGGCAGAUUUGGGAGUCUUGACAAAGUUAUUUUUUCUCCAACAAGAACAUUGGCGUUGGUAUGUCAUUCUUAUGUUAAUUCUAUUUAAGCCCAACAUCAAAUGAUGUGUUGUAUGCUUGUAUCUUUAUCCCUUAUCAGUUGCUUGAGGUGACCACUUUUUCUUUGGGGGAAGGGAGUAGUAGGGAGAUGAGACAUGAACUGGCAGACAAGCAUACAGUUUCACGAACUGAAAGGAAAAUAAUUUCAGAGUUCAGACUCGGAUUGCCUUUAUUUAUAAGUUUAACUUUCUUUUGCUUGUAUUAGCGUAUGCUUGUUUUAAAUUUAGAUUAUAAAUGUCAUUUACUGUAUCAUUAACGUGAAGGAGCAAUAUCUUGUAAUUCUUCAUCAAAAUCUGUAACAGAAGAAGAGUAAAACAGAAGCUUGGAAAUGAUUUAACAGAAGAAUCUUGAUAAUCUGUUAAAAGGUAAUCAGCAGAUUUAACAGAAGCUGCUGAUUACUCUUGAUGAUUUAACAAAUUCAUCAAAAUCAGUAACAGAAGAAGAGUAAAUGAUUUAAUAGAUUAUCAUCUUGCGCUAUAUUAAUCAUACUCACAUUCUAAUAAAAUCAAAGCAAACUAACAUAAUACCAGCCAAAUUCGACAAUUGUUCUUCCAGUUUAAGAUUUAACAUUAUGAUUUAACAUUAUGUUCGUUUAAUGAAAUUCUAAUAAAACCAAACAAACAUAAUACCAGCCAAAUUCCAAUAAAAUCUUAAACGAACAUAAUACCAGCCAAGAUUAUGAAAAUAUUUAAAUCAAAAUCAUGCCUUGAAACUGGAAGAAUAAUACCUAAUUUCCCUGAAACAUAUGCCCUGAAUCCAGUCCAAGAAACGUCACUCUUCUCGCCAAUGGGAGGAAUCCAGUUCGAGCACAACAAAAACAUGAAGACCGUCAAUUUAGGCGAACAAAAACAAAAGAGACCAUCUGAUUUUGGCUUUAUAGCAUGAAGGAUGGAGAAACUUACCAGAUAAUUUGAACAAAUGAUCUCCAAUUGGAGGAAUUCGGAUGAACAGAGGAGUUUGCGAGUAAAGAAGCUCAGAAGGAACCGCAAUGGAACAGCUUAGGGUUUUUUAAAAUUUUUGGGGAUGAACAAUCUAAUGAUAUUUUUUUAAUUUAAUAGUCUUUUGCAACCGUGAGUUUCGUUGUACUUAGUAAUUAUAUGGACGUUAAAAAAAUUAAGAAACCGGGAAAGCUCCCGCUCAAGUUUUUUCGCUCAAUUUCAUACUUUUUACGACCAGAUUUUAACGUCUACCACCAAAUUUAAGACUCGUUGCAAAAUAACCUUAAUAUCUACGACGGCUUUCAAAACUCGACGUAAUUGGUACCCUUUUACGACCGGAUUUCCGCACGGUCGUUAAGGUUGGUCGCAAUUGCCAUUCAUUCUUGUAGUGAUUGCCCCUAAGCGGUCGGGGGUCUAGGUGGCUAUGUAGAGAACAAUGAGGUCUUCCUAGGUCAUUUUACUAAGCUCUUGCUUAGUAAAGACACACCAAACGAGAAGUCGAUGGGUGUACCGAAGGAUAGAGAAAACAAUGGUCGUAGAGGAGACAGACCGAAAUUGAAAGUUGGAAAGUCGAGAGAUGAGCCUCCAAAAGGCUUAUUGGUUGUAAUUGGGAAAGUUUUGGAGGUGAGGGUGAUAAAUCCUCGCCUCCGAGGGCCAACCAAAUACCCCAUUCAACUCCGCUAAGGUUAUUCGAAAUUUGGUGUUAAAUAGUUGGAAGGAAAUAUCAAAUUCUUCCUCCCCAUUUAGAGUUCGCUCAAGAGAGGCGAGGAACUAAAGGGUGACCCGCUCAUAUGUCAGGGCAUGCAAAGGUGAAAAACAGUCCCAACCUAGGUCCGUUAGGCACGUUAGAACAUCUUGGCGAAUUCCAAGUGCUUUUAAGGUAGGGCCGUGGUAGAAUUUGGUCGGGUUAAUUUUUCGGUGCUUAAGUACAUCAUAGGCCUUUUGUGAUUUGAGUCGGGGUCAAACCGAAAGUUAGGAAUGUGGAUUGAAUCAUUGGGGGGAAGGAUUGACAUCUGUGAGGUUUUUGUUUUUCUUGGUGCGUGAAGUCAUAUUAUGGAGUUUAAAGAGAAGGCUCAACUACUAUACACAUACUUAAACAAUCAACAAAUGGACAAUACAAUCUCCAAAUUUCAACAAAGUCACAAACAAUAUAUCCACCAACAAAGUUCCAACAAGUCAAAUGAUCCUAAGGAGGUCCCAAAGGUGCUUCUAUGACAACAAUUCCAACAAUCACAAUAAAAGCUAUAAAAUAAAAACUAAAAAGAGAAAUUACACUACAAGAACACACAAACCACAAAGAUCACAAAUCACAAAAAACAUAAGAAAUAAAAAAAAAAACUAUCUAGAAAAACAGCUAAUCCCACAAUCACAAGUAAAAAUUAAAAAGAAACUAAUUAUGUAGAAUGAAAAAUAAAAGAGAGAAGAGAAAAAAAACAGAAAAAUAAAAUAAAAUAAAAAUAAAAUUCGAAAAUUAGAAAAAGAAGAAGGAAGAGAUGACCUUAC